Molecule: ribosomal RNA, 499 nt
Filed under: Tarzetta sp. 1526
Lineage: Eukaryota; Fungi; Ascomycota; Pezizomycetes; Pezizales; Tarzettaceae
Description: eukaryotic LSU rRNA
Rfam family: Eukaryotic large subunit ribosomal RNA
Source: RNAcentral
UGCGAGUGAAGCGGCAAAAGCUCAAAUUUGAAAUCUGCGCCCUUCGGGGCGUCGAGUUGUAAUUUUGAGAUGCGUUUUCGACCGACAGGCCUGCCUUAAGUCCCUUGGAACAGGGCGUCACAGAGGGUGAGAAUCCCGUGAACGGUAGGCCUCGAGGCAAACGAUACGUAUUCGACGAGUCGAGUUGUUUGGGAAUGCAGCUCAAAAUGGGUGGUAAAUUUCAUCUAAAGCUAAAUAUAGGGGAGAGACCGAUAGCGCACAAGUAGAGUGAUCGAAAGAUGAAAAGCACUUUGAAAAGAGAGUUAAAAAGUACGUGAAAUUGUUGAAAGGGAAGCGCUUGAGGCCAGACUCAAUCUCCGUCGAUCAACCUCGGUUCUCCGGGGUGCAAUCGGCGGCUUUUGGGACAGCAUCGGUUCCGGCGGAGGGACAAAGCCUCAGGGAAUGUGGCACCCCUCGGGGUGUGUUAUAGACCUAUGGGUAAUGCCUCCGGCUGGGACCG